This 1263-nucleotide ribosomal RNA is filed under the name Staphylococcus aureus. RNAcentral's name for it is "partial 23S ribosomal RNA". It matches the Rfam family "Bacterial large subunit ribosomal RNA", at positions 1660 to 2925 of the family's 2925-position model. The record is from RNAcentral. Lineage: Bacteria; Bacillati; Bacillota; Bacilli; Caryophanales; Staphylococcaceae.
CAGGUAGUCAAGAUGAGAAUUCUAAGGUGAGCGAGCGAACUCUCGUUAAGGAACUCGGCAAAAUGACCCCGUAACUUCGGGAGAAGGGGUGCUCUUUAGGGUUAACGCCCAGAAGAGCCGCAGUGAAUAGGCCCAAGCGACUGUUUAUCAAAAACACAGGUCUCUGCUAAACCGUAAGGUGAUGUAUAGGGGCUGACGCCUGCCCGGUGCUGGAAGGUUAAGAGGAGUGGUUAGCUUCUGCGAAGCUACGAAUCGAAGCCCCAGUAAACGGCGGCCGUAACUAUAACGGUCCUAAGGUAGCGAAAUUCCUUGUCGGGUAAGUUCCGACCCGCACGAAAGGCGUAACGAUUUGGGCACUGUCUCAACGAGAGACUCGGUGAAAUCAUAGUACCUGUGAAGAUGCAGGUUACCCGCGACAGGACGGAAAGACCCCGUGGAGCUUUACUGUAGCCUGAUAUUGAAAUUCGGCACAGCUUGUACAGGAUAGGUAGGAGCCUUUGAAACGUGAGCGCUAGCUUACGUGGAGGCGCUGGUGGGAUACUACCCUAGCUGUGUUGGCUUUCUAACCCGCACCACUUAUCGUGGUGGGAGACAGUGUCAGGCGGGCAGUUUGACUGGGGCGGUCGCCUCCUAAAAGGUAACGGAGGCGCUCAAAGGUUCCCUCAGAAUGGUUGGAAAUCAUUCAUAGAGUGUAAAGGCAUAAGGGAGCUUGACUGCGAGACCUACAAGUCGAGCAGGGUCGAAAGACGGACUUAGUGAUCCGGUGGUUCCGCAUGGAAGGGCCAUCGCUCAACGGAUAAAAGCUACCCCGGGGAUAACAGGCUUAUCUCCCCCAAGAGUUCACAUCGACGGGGAGGUUUGGCACCUCGAUGUCGGCUCAUCGCAUCCUGGGGCUGUAGUCGGUCCCAAGGGUUGGGCUGUUCGCCCAUUAAAGCGGUACGCGAGCUGGGUUCAGAACGUCGUGAGACAGUUCGGUCCCUAUCCGUCGUGGGCGUAGGAAAUUUGAGAGGAGCUGUCCUUAGUACGAGAGGACCGGGAUGGACAUACCUCUGGUGUACCAGUUGUCGUGCCAACGGCAUAGCUGGGUAGCUAUGUGUGGACGGGAUAAGUGCUGAAAGCAUCUAAGCAUGAAGCCCCCCUCAAGAUGAGAUUUCCCAACUUCGGUUAUAAGAUCCCUCAAAGAUGAUGAGGUUAAUAGGUUCGAGGUGGAAGCAUGGUGACAUGUGGAGCUGACGAAUACUAAUCGAUCGAAGACUUAAUCAA